Molecule: ribosomal RNA, 705 nt
Filed under: Microbacterium sp.
Lineage: Bacteria; Bacillati; Actinomycetota; Actinomycetes; Micrococcales; Microbacteriaceae
Description: bacterial SSU rRNA
Rfam family: Bacterial small subunit ribosomal RNA
Source: RNAcentral
CAGUCGAACGGUGAACACCAGAGCUUGCUCUGUGGGAUCAGUGGCGAACGGGUGAGUAACACGUGAGCAACCUACCCCUGACUCUGGGAUAAGCGCUGGAAACGGCGUCUAAUACUGGAUACGAGUGGCGACCGCAUGGUCAGCUACUGGAAAGAUUUAUUGGUUGGGGAUGGGCUCGCGGCCUAUCAGCUUGUUGGUGAGGUAAUGGCUCACCAAGGCGUCGACGGGUAGCCGGCCUGAGAGGGUGACCGGCCACACUGGGACUGAGACACGGCCCAGACUCCUACGGGAGGCAGCAGUGGGGAAUAUUGCACAAUGGGCGCAAGCCUGAUGCAGCAACGCCGCGUGAGGGAUGACGGCCUUCGGGUUGUAAACCUCUUUUAGCAGGGAAGAAGCGAAAGUGACGGUACCUGCAGAAAAAGCGCCGGCUAACUACGUGCCAGCAGCCGCGGUAAUACGUAGGGCGCAAGCGUUAUCCGGAAUUAUUGGGCGUAAAGAGCUCGUAGGCGGUUUGUCGCGUCUGCUGUGAAAUCCGGAGGCUCAACCUCCGGCCUGCAGUGGGUACGGGCAGACUAGAGUGCGGUAGGGGAGAUUGGAAUUCCUGGUGUAGCGGUGGAAUGCGCAGAUAUCAGGAGGAACACCGAUGGCGAAGGCAGAUCUCUGGGCCGUAACUGACGCUGAGGAGCGAAAGGGUGGGGGAGCAAA